Molecule: non-coding RNA, 206 nt
Organism: Pelobates cultripes (western spadefoot toad)
Lineage: Eukaryota; Metazoa; Chordata; Amphibia; Anura; Pelobatidae
Source: the annotation of a GenBank genome assembly
CAAAGUCUUUCCCAUAGUCUUUCAUUAUACGAAUGGGCUCCAUGGCAUAGCUAUCUGCGGUAUCACUGCUCAAACAGGGCAAGCACCAAAUGACCCGGCUUUCUUGUCUUUGCAGGGGAAAAUCAAGCCUUUUAACAUGGGGCCAUAAUCCAAAGGCAACAGGCGAGCAACCAGGCUUCUCCAAUGCAAUGUGGCGAGAUUGCUCU